AUUGAACGCUGGCGGCAGGCCUAACACAUGCAAGUCGAGCGGAUGAAGGGAGCUUGCUCCUGGAUUCAGCGGCGGACGGGUGAGUAAUGCCUAGGAAUCUGCCUGGUAGUGGGGGAUAACGUCCGGAAACGGGCGCUAAUACCGCAUACGUCCUGAGGGAGAAAGUGGGGGAUCUUCGGACCUCACGCUAUCAGAUGAGCCUAGGUCGGAUUAGCUAGUUGGUGGGGUAAAGGCCUACCAAGGCGACGAUCCGUAACUGGUCUGAGAGGAUGAUCAGUCACACUGGAACUGAGACACGGUCCAGACUCCUACGGGAGGCAGCAGUGGGGAAUAUUGGACAAAGGGCGAAAGCCUGAUCCAGCCAUACCGCGUGUGUGAAGAAGGUCUUCGGAUUGUAAAGCACUUUAGGUUGGGAGGAAGGGCAGUAAGUUAAUACCUUGCUGUUUUGACGUUACCAACAGAAUAAGCACCGGCUAACUUCGUG
RNAcentral lists this ribosomal RNA (484 nucleotides) under uncultured bacterium. RNAcentral describes it as "partial 16S ribosomal RNA". It matches the Rfam family "Bacterial small subunit ribosomal RNA", at positions 30 to 507 of the family's 1533-position model. The record is from RNAcentral.